UGUGUCGAUUCGAUUGGGAUACUCAUCAAUAAUUUUUAGAAAACCGAGAACGUUUCUUUUGUUAAUGGCGGGCCAUAUAAAAUUCUGAAAAAGAACUAAGCUGUAAAGCCGAUGGAUUACAAAGACGGAGAGCACUCAAAUCUUUUAUAGCUCGGAGUUUCAUCACAUCAUCG
This 173-nucleotide small RNA is filed under the name uncultured Prevotella sp. RNAcentral describes it as "Bacteroidales-1 6S-Bacteroidales RNA suggested". It matches the Rfam family "Bacteroidales-1 6S-Bacteroidales RNA suggested", at positions 5 to 165 of the family's 179-position model. The record is from RNAcentral. Lineage: Bacteria; Pseudomonadati; Bacteroidota; Bacteroidia; Bacteroidales; Prevotellaceae.